This 346-nucleotide ribosomal RNA is filed under the name Mantis religiosa (praying mantis). Its description in RNAcentral is "partial 16S ribosomal RNA". The record is from RNAcentral. Lineage: Eukaryota; Metazoa; Arthropoda; Insecta; Mantodea; Mantidae.
GGCCGCAGUAUUUUGACUGUGCAAAGGUAGCAUAAUCAUUAGUCUUUUAAUUGAAGGCUGGUAUGAAUGGUUGGACGAGGUAAAUACUGUUUUAUAUUAAUUGAAAUUGAAUUUAGAAUUUAAGUAAAAAGACUUAAAUAUUAUUAAGGGACGAGAAGACCCUAUAGAGUUUAAUAAGUUUAAUAAUUAAUUGAGUUAUUAAUUAAUUUUUGGUUUUUAUGAAAUUUAUUUAAUUGGGGUGAUUAGAGGAUAAAUAAAACUUUUCUUUAAAAUUAAUAUUAUUAUUAGUUCUAUGAUCCAUUAUUAAUGAUUAAAAGAUUAAAUUACCUUAGGGAUAACAGCAUAA